CCAAUAGCGUAUAUUAAAGUUGUUGCAGUUAAAAAGCUCGUAGUUGAAUUUCGGGGUCAGUAGGCUGGUCGUGCCACAGGUAUGUACUGGUCUUACUGAUUCCUCCUUCCUGAUGAACCGUAAUGCCAUUAAUUUGGUGUUGCGGGGAAUCUGGACUGUUACUUUGAAAAAAUUAGAGUGUUUAAAGCAGGCUAACGCUUGAAUACAUUAGCAUGGAAUAAUGAAAGAGGACGAUCGAUCCUAUUUUGUUGGUUUCUAGGAUUGACGUAAUGAUUAAUAGGGAUAGUUGGGGGCAUUAGUAUUCAAUUGUCAGAGGUGAAAUUCUUGGAUUUAUUGAAGACUAACUACUGCGAAAGCAUUUGCCAAGGAUGUUUUCAUUAAUCAAGAACGAAAGUUAGGGGAUCGAAGACGAUCAGAUACCGUCGUAGUCUUAACCAUAAACUAUGCCGACUAGGGAUCGGAUGAUGUUAAUUUUUUAAUGACUCAUUCGGCGCCUUACG
RNAcentral lists this ribosomal RNA (500 nucleotides) under uncultured Glomeromycotina. RNAcentral's name for it is "partial small subunit ribosomal RNA". It matches the Rfam family "Eukaryotic small subunit ribosomal RNA", at positions 591 to 1092 of the family's 1831-position model. The record is from RNAcentral. Lineage: Eukaryota; Fungi; Glomeromycota.